UGAUCCAUAAUAAGUGUCAGG
RNAcentral lists this microRNA (21 nucleotides) under Brachypodium distachyon (stiff brome). RNAcentral's name for it is "bdi-miR5181a-5p". Lineage: Eukaryota; Viridiplantae; Streptophyta; Magnoliopsida; Poales; Poaceae. The record is from miRBase by way of RNAcentral.